UCGCCUACGGGGCGCAGCAGUGGGGGAUAUUGCACAAUGGGGGAAACCCUGAUGCAGCGACGCCGCGUGGGCGAAGAAGUAUUUCGGUAUGUAAAGCCCUAUCAGCAGGGAAGAAGAAAUGACGGUACCUGAGUAAGAAGCACCGGCUAAAUACGUGCCAGCAGCCGCGGUAAUACGUAUGGUGCAAGCGUUAUCCGGAUUUACUGGGUGUAAAGGGAGCGCAGGCGGCACGGCAAGCCUGAUGUGAAAGCCCGGGGCUCAACCGCGGGACUGCUUUUGAAACUGUGUAGCUAGAGUGCAGGAGG
RNAcentral lists this ribosomal RNA (305 nucleotides) under uncultured bacterium. RNAcentral's name for it is "bacterial SSU rRNA". It matches the Rfam family "Bacterial small subunit ribosomal RNA", at positions 335 to 655 of the family's 1533-position model. The record is from RNAcentral.